CUCUCAGGCAAAGCAGCGAGUUCCAUGGAAGACCUUCCCACAGUGAACAGAUGAAAAACAGGGGGCUUUGUUUUGGGUGCAAACAAGAUGUUUUGUGUCACUUUUAAAGAUCGCAAUCCAAACAUCAGGUUCCUGUGAAGUCUUGAUUUCUCAGAUAUGAAAGUCUUGCCGAACAGUGAUUUCCCACUGAGGAAGCAGGAUGGCUGCAGUGGUGAAGCAGCUGCACUUUUUUCCCCAUUAAGAGAAGCAAAGAAAUGAAAAA
This is a non-coding RNA of Pogona vitticeps (central bearded dragon), 262 nucleotides long. The record is from RefSeq and is a predicted model, not a curated record. Lineage: Eukaryota; Metazoa; Chordata; Lepidosauria; Squamata; Agamidae.